GACGAACGCUGGCGGCGUGCUUAACACAUGCAAGUCGAACGGUGAAGCGCCUUCCUUUUGGUGGGUGUGGAUGAGUGGCGAACGGGUGAGUAACACGUGAGUAACCUGCCCCCUUCUUCUGGAUAACCGCAUGAAAGUGUGGCUAAUACGGGAUAUUCUGGGUCUGUCGCAUGAUGGGUCUGGGAAAGAUAUUGUUUCGGUGGGGGAUGGGCUCGCGGCCUAUCAGCUUGUUGGUGGGGUGAUGGCCUACCAAGGCGGUGACGGGUAGCCGGCCUGAGAGGGUGGACGGUCACACUGGGACUGAGACACGGCCCAGACUCCUACGGGAGGCAGCAGUGGGGAAUAUUGCACAAUGGGCGCAAGCCUGAUGCAGCGACGCCGCGGGAGGGAUGGAGGCCUUCGGGUUGUGAACCUCUUUCGCCAGUGAAGCAGGCCUGCCUCGUUUGUGGGUGGGUUGACGGUAGCUGGAUAAGAAGCGCCGGCUAACUACGUG
This 493-nucleotide ribosomal RNA is filed under the name uncultured bacterium. Its description in RNAcentral is "partial 16S ribosomal RNA". It matches the Rfam family "Bacterial small subunit ribosomal RNA", at positions 28 to 507 of the family's 1533-position model. The record is from RNAcentral.